CGCCUCCAGGGCAGAGGGCCAGUGGGGUGCAAAACUCGGGUUCCCCUGGGGCAGCGCCCUGCGGGGUGGAGGUGACAGGAGCGCCAUCGCCCAGGUCCAGCGAGGUCCUGGGACACCGCGGAGACCGGGUACAGGUGGGGCCGGGUGGCCCCGCUUCCCUGUGUUGGGCAGUUUCAAUGUGGAUUCUGGUCGUCGAGGUUGUUGGACAAGCCAUGAAGGGGACGCCAACAAAGUCACAGCCAAGACUCUGCUCCAGGACAUCAGAGGGCACCAGCCCGGAGUGCACCCCCGGAGACGUGGACGCUGGCUGCAGCCGACGCUGACCACGAAUCACCUUUCAGGAGAAGAAAGUCGCGCUCCUCGGAUGUGUGCAGGUACAAAGUGGGCCGAGCUUUCACAAGUGGACACAGACAUACACAACCUCCAUCACCACUACCAAGGCACAGGCACUUGCGGCACCGGAGCGCUCCCUCCUGCCCCCAACCCUGACCCAGCCCAGCAACCACGACCAACUUCACCUGGGUCUCUUUGCCUUUUCUGGAACUUUGCUCAGUAGGAUCUUACUGUCCGAAGCCUGCCAGGUCUGGCCCCUCAGAGGCAGUGAAAUUAUUUUGAAGCCCCUUCAUUUCGCUAAAGCCCUCGGCCACUCAGAGCACAGAGCAGGUGGAGAGGCAGACCUUGUAGACCAGGAGACCCUGUGGCCAUGUUGCCAGUGUCCAAGGGCAUCGGGCUGAUUUCUCCCCCUUUGAUGGCCCCUACGUACCAGGCAGUAAACAACAAUGAAGGAUGCCAACGGUCAGCCCAGGCAAGCGGCUUUCUACCAUUCUUGGUCUUUGGUCUCCUUGGCAUGCCCAGGUCUGAUGGGGGUUGAGCUGCGAGCUGGGCAGGAGUCAGGAGGCCCAUGCUCGAUAGCUGUGCCAAUAAACUGUG
Long non-coding RNA from Fukomys damarensis (Damara mole-rat), 930 nucleotides. RefSeq lists it as uncharacterized. The transcript is spliced from 4 exons. The record is from RefSeq and is a predicted model, not a curated record. NCBI's taxonomy places the organism in Eukaryota, Metazoa, Chordata, Mammalia, Rodentia, Bathyergidae.